GUGCUUGCUUUGGCAGCACAUAUACUAAAAUACGAAUUGGAAUGAUACAGAGAAGAUUAGCAUGGCCCCAGCGCAAGGAUGAUACACACAUUCAUUAAGCAUUCCAUAUUUUA
Small nuclear RNA from Ailuropoda melanoleuca (giant panda), 113 nucleotides. Lineage: Eukaryota; Metazoa; Chordata; Mammalia; Carnivora; Ursidae. The record is from Ensembl.